UUCGGUGGCGAUAGCGUAGAGGAAACACCCGUUCCCAUCCCGAACACGGAAGUUAAGCUCUACAGCGCCGAUGGUACUGCGCGGGGGACCGCGUGGGAGAGUAGGACGCCGCCGGAA
RNAcentral lists this ribosomal RNA (117 nucleotides) under Deltaproteobacteria bacterium. Lineage: Bacteria; Pseudomonadati; Myxococcota; Myxococcia. The record is from RNAcentral.